This is a long non-coding RNA of Dreissena polymorpha, 236 nucleotides long. RefSeq lists it as uncharacterized. Lineage: Eukaryota; Metazoa; Mollusca; Bivalvia; Myida; Dreissenidae. The transcript is spliced from 3 exons. The record is from RefSeq and is a predicted model, not a curated record.
GGCAGUUUUCUACUUUGACAACUGCUGAACAAAAAAUAAGAACAACUGUGUACUUUGGUAUGCAUUGUGGAGAGUUAGUGUUGGGCUGCACACUCGAAUGAGAUACUCGAUGAUGGUGACUGCGGCCACAUCAAGUUCUAGCCUGAUUGGCAUUUUGGAUUAUGGAAGUCAAAGUAGACCAUCGAAGGUGUUGCUGAGACUGUAUCCACCUCCUCAAGGUCUGGACUUAAUGUGCC